UCCCUGGAACCGCUCUCGGUCCACAUCAAAGUCCUGGACUCAGUCUGGUUCCAGAUCUAGGUCCAGAUCCCCCACCACACUGGCCUACAGCAGGGCCCAGAGGUGGAGGGACUGCUGCAGCUCCAACAACAUCAGGGACUCCAGGAAACCAAAGAGACAACAAGAUAUGAGGAAUCAAAAACUAAAAGCCAUAAUGGCCAAGCUGCAAAUUGAAGAUUGGCUAUAUCAUAAACAUCUCUGGAAACCAACA
This is a long non-coding RNA of Oncorhynchus keta (chum salmon), 250 nucleotides long. RefSeq lists it as uncharacterized. The transcript is spliced from 3 exons. NCBI's taxonomy places the organism in Eukaryota, Metazoa, Chordata, Actinopteri, Salmoniformes, Salmonidae. The record is from RefSeq and is a predicted model, not a curated record.